RNAcentral lists this ribosomal RNA (253 nucleotides) under uncultured Eubacteriales bacterium. Its description in RNAcentral is "uncultured Clostridiales bacterium partial 16S ribosomal RNA". It matches the Rfam family "Bacterial small subunit ribosomal RNA", at positions 524 to 776 of the family's 1533-position model. The record is from RNAcentral. Lineage: Bacteria; Bacillati; Bacillota; Clostridia; Eubacteriales.
UACGUAGGUGGCAAGCGUUAUCCGGAUUUACUGGGUGUAAAGGGCGUGUAGGCGGGAUGGUAAGUCAGAUGUGAAAACUAUGGGCUCAACCCAUAGCCUGCAUUUGAAACUGCCAUACUGGAGUGCCGGAGAGGUAAGUGGAAUUCCUAGUGUAGCGGUGAAAUGCGUAGAUAUUAGGAGGAACACCAGUGGCGAAGGCGGCUUACUGGACGGUAACUGACGCUGAGGCUCGAAAGCGUGGGGAGCAAACAGG